CGUAGGUGAGGAUACGUACGUUUCGCCUACCUAACCCCGCGGUAACGGCCCCCAAUACCGCCCCAGUCGACCCACUCCGUGGGCGGCGACGCUGUCAAUCUGUGCUGGAAGCGCCCUAGGGCGUGACCAGCAGCUCGUUACAUCGAGUCCACAGAUCAAACGACGGUGGCCACCUCGGGUGGUUUUGAUAUGAUCGGCCCCAGUCGACACCGGCUGGCGAGAGCGGAACCUGCGGAAGGAUCAUUAAC
This 248-nucleotide ribosomal RNA is filed under the name Protoparmeliopsis muralis. RNAcentral describes it as "partial 18S ribosomal RNA". Lineage: Eukaryota; Fungi; Ascomycota; Lecanoromycetes; Lecanorales; Lecanoraceae. The record is from RNAcentral.